This 462-nucleotide ribosomal RNA is filed under the name uncultured bacterium. Its description in RNAcentral is "bacterial SSU rRNA". It matches the Rfam family "Bacterial small subunit ribosomal RNA", at positions 28 to 507 of the family's 1533-position model. RNAcentral also lists the same sequence under 1 other name. The record is from RNAcentral.
GACGAACGCUGGCGGCGUGCCUAACACAUGCAAGUCGAACGAAGAAUGUUUUUCGGAAUAUUCUUAGUGGCGGACGGGUGAGUAACGCGUGAACAAUCUGCCCCGUACAAAGGGAUAGCCUCGGGAAACCGGGAUUAAAACCAUAUAACACUUAACUGCCGCAUGGUAGUGAAGUCAAAUCGAUUAAGAGGUAUGGGAUGAGUUCGCGUCUGAUUAGCUAGUUGGUGAGGUAAGGGCUCACCAAGGCGACGAUCAGUAGCCGGCCUGAGAGGGUGAACGGCCACACUGGAACUGAGACACGGUCCAGACUCCUACGGGAGGCAGCAGUGGGGAAUAUUGCACAAUGGAGGGAACUCUGAUGCAGCGACGCCGCGUGAGUGAAGAAGGUCUUCGGAUCGUAAAACUCUGUCCUUGGUGAAGAAAAGGACGGUAGCCAAGGAGGAAGCCCCGGCUAACUACGUG